RNAcentral lists this ribosomal RNA (51 nucleotides) under Synechococcus sp. 1Dp66E-1. RNAcentral describes it as "partial 23S ribosomal RNA". Lineage: Bacteria; Bacillati; Cyanobacteriota; Cyanophyceae; Synechococcales; Synechococcaceae. The record is from RNAcentral.
GGUCAAGCUACAAAGGGCUCACGGUGGAUACCUAGGCACCAGAGGCGAAGA